CCUACGUGAGGCAGCAGUGAGGAAUAUUGGUCAAUGGGCGCGAGCCUGAACCAGCCAAGUAGCGUGAAGGAUGACUGCCCUACGGGUUGUAAACUUCUUUUAUAAAGGAAUAAAGUGAGGCACGUGUGCCUUUUUGUAUGUACUUUAUGAAUAAGGAUCGGCUAACUCCGUGCCAGCAGCCGCGGUAAUACGGAGGAUCCGAGCGUUAUCCGAAUUUAUUGGGUUUAAAGGGAGCGUAGAUGGGUUGUUAAGUCAGUUGUGAAAGUUUGCGGCUCAACCGUAAAAUUGCAAUUGAUACUGGCAGUCUUGAGUACAGUUGAGGUAGGCGGAAUUCGUGGGGUAGCGGUGAAAUGCUUAGAUAUCACGAAGAACUCCGAUUGCGAAGGCAGCUUACUAAACUGCCACUGACAUUGAUGCUCGAAAGUGUGGGUAUCAAACAGGAUUAGAUACCCGAGUAGUC
This 460-nucleotide ribosomal RNA is filed under the name uncultured bacterium. RNAcentral describes it as "partial 16S ribosomal RNA". It matches the Rfam family "Bacterial small subunit ribosomal RNA", at positions 338 to 795 of the family's 1533-position model. The record is from RNAcentral.